GUCAGGCCGGAACCCAAGAUGGUGGCGCUCUUGUUGAGACAUGUUGGCCGUCAUUGCCUCCGUGCCCACCUUAGUCCUCAGCUCUGUAUCAGAAAUGCUGUUCCUUUGGGAACCACAGCCAAAGAAGAGAUAGAGAGGUUCUGGAGUAAGAACACUAGUUCAAACCGUCCUUUGUCGCCCCAUAUCAGCAUCUACAGCUGGUCUCUUCCCAUGGCGAUGUCCAUUUGCCACUGUGGCACUGGUAUUGACUUGAGUGCAGGAGUCUCUCUUUUUGGCUUGUCGGCCCUCUUGGUCCCCGGGAGCUUUGAGUCUCAUUUGGAAUUUGUGAAGUCCCUGUGUUUGGGGCCAGCACUGAUCCACACAGCCAAAUUUGCACUUGUCUUCCCUCUCAUGUAUCACACCUGGAAUGGGAUCACACGACAGCACCUUAAUUGAACUAUGUGGGAUCUAGGAAAAGGCCUGACGAUUUCCCAGCUACACCAGUCUGGAGUGGUUGUCUUGGUUCUUACUGUGUUGUCCUCGGUAGGGCUGGCAGCCAUGUGAAGAGCCGAAGUUCCCAGCGUCAUCAUCCUGCAAAUGAUCACAUUGACCUGUCUUCCUGUUUGUUACUCUUGUCUUUGGCCGGGGCAAAGUUAUCCUGAUUUGUUUAGACCCUUCUUUGCUUGCAGAUCCCCUUGGAGCUCAGCAGUAGAGUACGUUACAUAACCAAAGUGGUGGAAAAGGGUCCAGUUUUCCCCUUAUUUAUAAUGAUGGAAUGACUGCAAAAAACUUCCUUUUCUUGCCCCCAGCUUGCAGCCUACUCUGGGCUUGGGAGCCUUCUUUCUCUCUCCAUGUCAGGCCUUGAUUUAUGCUGAGGGUCAGCCUUUGGCUCCUUCUUCCUGAGACAGUGGAAACAAUGCCAGCUCUGUGGCCUCUGCCAUGGGGACUGGGAGUGGGGAUUCGGGUGCCACUGCCUGUGGGAUGCUGGCUCAAAGGACAAUUCUGUCCAUUUGUCAGAGCCCAGGGUCUUUAGCACCCACACAGUGUGACUGACUGAAGGAGAGGGGUGGGGGUGGAGGAGAAUUAGCCUGUCCCAGCUAGCGGGAGAUAAGAGUUAAGUUGGCUCUUGAAGCAGGUCUUGGGGAGAAGAUAUAUAGCUUUUGAUGCAAGAAGGAGAUCCAGAAAAUUAUCACUGAAUCUAUUGCAGGUUAUUUCUUUUCUUUGUGUUUCCAGAAAAACCAAACCUCUUACUGUCAUGUUUUCUAAUCCAGAAUCACAUGACAUCUUUUUCUGAAACUGAAUUAAAAUUAUUAUUUUGCCUUUGAAAAAAAAAAAA
Non-coding RNA from Odocoileus virginianus texanus, 1315 nucleotides. Lineage: Eukaryota; Metazoa; Chordata; Mammalia; Artiodactyla; Cervidae. The record is from RefSeq and is a predicted model, not a curated record.